AGUCGAGCGGUAACAUUCCUAGCUUGCUAGGAGAUGACGAGCGGCGGACGGGUGAGUAAUGCUUGGGAAUAUGCCAUUGAGUGGGGGACAACAGUUGGAAACGACUGCUAAUACCGCAUAACGUCUACGGACCAAAGGGGGGGAUCUUCGGACCUCUCGCUCAUUGAUUAGCCCAAGUGAGAUUAGCUAGUUGGUAAGGUAAUGGCUUACCAAGGCGACGAUCUCUAGCUGGUUUGAGAGGAUGAUCAGCCACACUGGGACUGAGACACGGCCCAGACUCCUACGGGAGGCAGCAGUGGGGAAUAUUGCACAAUGGGCGAAAGCCUGAUGCAGCCAUGCCGCGUGUGUGAAGAAGGCCUUCGGGUUGUAAAGCACUUUCAGUAAGGAGGAAAGGGAUGUAGUUAAUAGCUGCAUUCUGUGACGUUACUUACAGAAGAAGCACCGGCUAACUUCGUGCCAGCAGCCGCGGUAAUACGAGGGGUGCAAGCGUUAAUCGGAAUUACUGGGCGUAAAGCGUUCGUAGGCGGUUAUUUAAGCAAGAUGUGAAAGCCCAGGGCUCAACCUUGGAACUGCAUUUUGAACUGGAUGACUAGAGUACUGUAGAGGGUGGUGGAAUUUCCAGUGUAGCGGUGAAAUGCGUAGAGAUUGGAAGGAACAUCAGUGGCGAAGGCGGCCACCUGGACAGAUACUGACGCUGAGGAACGAAAGCGUGGGGAGCGA
This 720-nucleotide ribosomal RNA is filed under the name gamma proteobacterium GM79. Its description in RNAcentral is "bacterial SSU rRNA". It matches the Rfam family "Bacterial small subunit ribosomal RNA", at positions 60 to 771 of the family's 1533-position model. Lineage: Bacteria; Pseudomonadati; Pseudomonadota; Gammaproteobacteria. The record is from RNAcentral.